CUCCGGGUGGCGGAGGAGGUCGCCGCCAACGGCGCUCGGAGCGUGGCGAUCACCGGUUCGGAACCGAGCCCGCUGGC
RNAcentral lists this transfer RNA (77 nucleotides) under Sediminivirga luteola. Its description in RNAcentral is "tRNA-Pro". The record is from RNAcentral. Lineage: Bacteria; Bacillati; Actinomycetota; Actinomycetes; Micrococcales; Brevibacteriaceae.